Syngnathoides biaculeatus (alligator pipefish) is the source of this 1243-nucleotide long non-coding RNA. RefSeq lists it as uncharacterized. The transcript has 5 exons. The record is from RefSeq and is a predicted model, not a curated record. NCBI's taxonomy places the organism in Eukaryota, Metazoa, Chordata, Actinopteri, Syngnathiformes, Syngnathidae.
CAGGUGUGCCUCAGUAUCUCAUCAUUUUGUUUGUAGACAUUUUUUUUCUUUAGUUCCCUGGUUCAUUCUGGUUAUUUUCAUCUGACGUCAGGUCAACUUUGCCUGUUGUUUGUUGUAGCGUUCUGUUUCUCUGUGUUUAUUUGCUACUUUGGAACCUUUUUUGUGUCAUUUUGUCUUCCUCUUUUAUUGACUUCUCUCAGUCUCGUCAAAUCUAGGCGUGCGGCCUUGUGUACAAGAAUUUCUCAAACAUCCGUGGCUGGAUCUGCGAGACGGGAAAGCCUGGCAUUCGCUUGCACUGUCGAAAAAAACCCUGCACUUAUCUUCUUAUGGUCUUCAAGCAGCGGUUUCUGGGAGGUGGGGUCCUGCCUCAUGCAAAUAAGCCACUGCUCAACCCGCCAUCCUCAAUUACACAAUGUGGUGAGGGUCACCAGUGAGCAGGAGUCUAUCCGUACUGAGAAGAGGUAGAUUUCUCAGACUGGGUGCCAGUCACUUGUAAGGCGAUUAUAUCAGCAUCUCAGGCAGUCAACACCGACCGCGCACAGGCCGGACAGAGAAGGAGAAAUGUAGCAGGGGAGAGAGAAGGACAUUCAGCGUGAACUUGGUGCCAAAGAUGGAGAAAAAUCUGAAAAUGACAGAUAAAGGAAGAGAAUAUUUGGAACAAAUAGUGCUUAAAACGGAAUGGCCAGAGUCAUUUUUUUUGUUUGAACUUCUCAGUGGGAGGUUCCAACAAGGAGCACUUAUUAAAAGUGCUCACAUGUGGAGCGCCAUUAUGAACCAAAACCUAGUGUGAGACUUCUCUCUUGUGUCAAGAUGAUGAACAGAAAAGGGAAAACUUGAAACUUUUCUAUAGUUAAGAACUUUAUUUGAAUGUGUCUAGUUUUCACCUUUUAUGUAUUUGCUUCCCGCGACCCUUGUGAGGAUAAGCGGCUAAGAAAAUGGAUGGAUGGAUUUAUUUACGUGCUCUUAUUUUGAAAUGCACUUACUAAAUCAGAGAAUGUUAUGCAGAUGUGCUCAGAAGUUUGAUUACCUGCGCAGAAUAUGUAACGUGUUAUUCUUUAAAGUCAACAUGAACCAUCAGGUACAACAUUUCAUUUUCUUUUUAAUGGGAUUUAAAUUAAACUUUAAGGCAUUUCAGAUGAGCACAAUCGUGAAACAAGACAAAGAAAAUAAUGAUGAGAUAUUCCUUGUUUAGUCAUAUUUGUAUCUAUAUUCUGCCACAGUAUAUAAACUGCACAACUGUAUA